UGUGACAGAAANAUAUGUAAUGGAUUUAAGCCCCAUUUAUAAAGGGCNUAUCCUUUUUUUAGAAUNUG
Molecule: transfer RNA, 68 nt
Filed under: Coptodisca kalmiella
Lineage: Eukaryota; Metazoa; Arthropoda; Insecta; Lepidoptera; Heliozelidae
Description: tRNA-Leu
Source: RNAcentral